This is a long non-coding RNA of Balaenoptera ricei (Rice's whale), 839 nucleotides long. RefSeq lists it as uncharacterized. NCBI's taxonomy places the organism in Eukaryota, Metazoa, Chordata, Mammalia, Artiodactyla, Balaenopteridae. The transcript is spliced from 2 exons. The record is from RefSeq and is a predicted model, not a curated record.
CCCUGGCUCGAGGGGUGGGGCUUUGCCACCUGUUCUCGGAGGGUUCUUAGGGGGUGGGACCUCCAGGGAAGUCUAAUCUCGGGCGCGUGGCCAAGAUGAAAUGGGUGGGCCCGGCACCUGGCGGUGGUUAGGCGUCAGUGUCCUGAGAAGCUCGGGUGCAAUUGCUUAGAGAGGCUUAGACGGGGGUUCUUGGGGGGGAAGUGACGUGGGCUCUUCCUCGGUGCUCUUGGAGUCCGGGUCUGACUGCUGCUGUUCGGACUCGGACUUCAGGGUGCUCUGCUGCGAGACGCACCGGCGGCGGCUCACCCGCAGCUCCGUGGAGGGCCCCCUUUUGCCCCACAUGCCCACGUAGUUUAAGUAGCUCAGGGUUCCUGGGGGUGGGGGCCAGAUGGGCUGCUGGACUCCGAACCCCGCCCUAGGCCCCGCCCUCUCCCUCGAGGCUGACCUCCCCGGGGGUCCGCCCCAAUCUGGCCAGAAGCCCUGCCUGGUAUUCUCCCCGGGUGCCACCCCCUGCCGAGACCCCGCCCCUUCCUCCCGAGGCCCCGCCCUCACCGGCCCACAGCGUCAAGGCGCCGGCGCCCCAGCACAGGAAAAAAAUGGGACCUGGGAGCUGCUGAGAGCCCCAUUGCCACUGUAUGAGCACAGCUUGCCUGAGGGCCCAACACAAAAGAAUCCUUCAAGGAGAGAUGGCAAGAGACAGAUACCUUUUGAACACCUGGAUCCCGAAGCAGGGACAAUUUAUGCCUGCAGACUUUUCCGUAACUUGAAACCAGCUUGAGUUUGAGAGGUAUAAGAGAAAGAGAUACUCAAAAUAAAUAAAUAAGAUUAAUACCACACAA